GAUGAAGAACGUAGCGAAAUGCGAUAAGUAGUGUGAAUUGCAGAAUUCAGUGAAUCAUCGAAUCUUUGAACGCACAUUGCGCCCCAUGGUAUUCCGUGGGGCAUGCCUGUUCGAGCGUCAUUUACCCCAUCAAGCUCCGCUUGGUGUUGGGCGUCUGUCCCGCUUCGCGCGCGGACUCGCCCCAAAGGUAUUGGCAGCGGUCGUGCCAGCUUCUCGCGCAGCACAUUGCGCUUCUCGAGGCACCGGUGGGCCCGCGUCCAUCAAGCUCACCCCCCCAGUUUGACCUCGGAUCAGGUAGGGAUACCCGCUGAACUUAAGCAUAUCAAUAAGCGGAGGA
RNAcentral lists this unclassified non-coding RNA (337 nucleotides) under soil metagenome. Its description in RNAcentral is "partial contains 5.8S ribosomal RNA, internal transcribed spacer 2, and large subunit ribosomal RNA". The stretch from base 1 to 120 matches the Rfam family "5.8S ribosomal RNA", at positions 35 to 154 of the family's 154-position model. The record is from RNAcentral.